This 72-nucleotide transfer RNA is filed under the name Camelus bactrianus (Bactrian camel). It matches the Rfam family "tRNA". From Rfam's summary of the family: Transfer RNA (tRNA) molecules are approximately 80 nucleotides in length. Their secondary structure includes four short double-helical elements and three loops (D, anti-codon, and T loops). The record is from Rfam by way of RNAcentral. RNAcentral also lists the same sequence under 2 other names. Lineage: Eukaryota; Metazoa; Chordata; Mammalia; Artiodactyla; Camelidae.
AAGGGUAUAGCUCAGUGGUAGAGCACAUGCUUAGCAUGCACAAAGUCCUGGGUUCAAUCCCCAGUACCUCCA